UACGUAGGGUGCAGGCGUUAAUCGGAAUUACUGGGCGUAAAGCGUGCGCAGGCGGUGAUGUAAGACAGUUGUGAAAUCCCCGGGCUCAACCUGGGAACUGCAUCUGUGACUGCAUCGCUGGAGUGCGGCAGAGGGGGAUGGAAUUCCGCGUGUAGCAGUGAAAUGCGUAGAUAUGCGGAGGAACACCGAUGGCGAAGGCAAUCCCCUGGGCCUGCACUGACGCUCAUGCACGAAAGCGUGGGGAGCAAACAGG
RNAcentral lists this ribosomal RNA (253 nucleotides) under uncultured bacterium. RNAcentral describes it as "partial 16S ribosomal RNA". It matches the Rfam family "Bacterial small subunit ribosomal RNA", at positions 524 to 776 of the family's 1533-position model. The record is from RNAcentral.